AUUGAACGCUGGCGGCAGGCCUAACACAUGCAAGUCGAGCGGAUGAAGGGAGCUUGCUCCUGGAUUCAGCGGCGGACGGGUGAGUAAUGCCUAGGAAUCUGCCUGGUAGUGGGGGAUAACGUCCGGAAACGGGCGCUAAUACCGCAUACGUCCUGAGGGAGAAAGUGGGGGAUCUUCGGACCUCACGCUAUCAGAUGAGCCUAGGUCGGAUUAGCUAGUUGGUGGGGUAAAGGCCUACCAAGGCGACGAUCCGUAACUGGUCUGAGAGGACGAUCAGUCACACUGGAACUGAGACACGGUCCAGACUCCUACGGGAGGCAGCAGUGGGGAAUAUUGGACAAUGGGCGAAAGCCUGAUCCAGCCAUGCCGCGUGUGUGAAGAAGGUCUUCGGAUUGUAAAGCACUUUAAGUUGGGAGGAAGGGCAGUAAGUUAAUACCUUGCUGUUUUGACGUUACCAACAGAAUAAGCACCGGCUAACUUCGU
This 483-nucleotide ribosomal RNA is filed under the name uncultured bacterium. RNAcentral's name for it is "partial 16S ribosomal RNA". It matches the Rfam family "Bacterial small subunit ribosomal RNA", at positions 30 to 506 of the family's 1533-position model. The record is from RNAcentral.